Molecule: ribosomal RNA, 604 nt
Filed under: uncultured Legionella sp.
Lineage: Bacteria; Pseudomonadati; Pseudomonadota; Gammaproteobacteria; Legionellales; Legionellaceae
Description: bacterial SSU rRNA
Rfam family: Bacterial small subunit ribosomal RNA
Source: RNAcentral
UUGGUAGCGUACGGCCUACCAGGAGACGAUCGGAAGCUGGUCUGAGAGGAUGACCAGCCACACUGGAACUGAGACACGGUCCAGACUCCUACGGGAGGCAGCACUGGGGAAUAUUGGACAAUGGGGGCAACCCUGAUCCAGCAAUGCCGCGUGUGUGAAGAACGCCUGAGGGUUGUAAAGCACUUUCAGUGGGGAGGAGGAUUGUUUGUUUACGAAAUGACUGAUUGCACGUUACUCACAUGAAACUGACCGGCUCACUCACUGCGAUCAUGCGCGGUAUGACUGACGGUGAAAGCUUUAAACGUAAUUACUGGGCGUAAAGGGUGCGUAGGUGGUUAUGUAAGUUAUGUGUGAAAUCCCUGGGCUCAACCUGGGCAGGUCAUAUAAUACUGCGUGACUCGAGUGUGGGAGAGGGUAGUGGAAUUUCCGGUGUAGCGGUGAAAUGCCUAUAGAUCGGAAGGAACACCACUGUCGAAAGCGGCUACCUGUCCUAUCACUGACACUUUAGCACGAAAACGUGAGGAGCCAACAAGAUUAUAUACCCUGGUAUUCCACACCUUAAAUCGAAGCCGGCUAAGCUGUUGGCUUUGAAAUAAUAAUAAUU